This 367-nucleotide ribosomal RNA is filed under the name Ixodes persulcatus (taiga tick). Its description in RNAcentral is "partial large subunit ribosomal RNA". The stretch from base 90 to 367 matches the Rfam family "Bacterial large subunit ribosomal RNA", at positions 2078 to 2601 of the family's 2925-position model. Lineage: Eukaryota; Metazoa; Arthropoda; Arachnida; Ixodida; Ixodidae. The record is from RNAcentral.
CUACGCAAUAUGAUUGAACAAUUAUAGGCUUUCUUUAGUUAAAUAAUUAAAUUUAAUUUUUUUAGUGCAAAAGCAAAAAUUAAAUUUAGGGACAAGAAGACCCUAUGAAUUUUAAUUUAAUUUAUAAUUUGAAAUUUUAAAUUAAAUUUGAUUGGGGCGAUGGAAAAAGAAUGAGUAUCUUUUUUAGUUUUAAAAAUUGGUUCCGUUUUUAACGAUUAAAUGAGAAAAAUACUCUAGGGAUAACAGCGUAAUAAUUUUGGAUAGUUCUUAUAGAUAAAAUAGUUUGCGACCUCGAUGUUGGAUUAGGAUUCUUUCUUGGCGAAGAAGUUAAGAAAAAGAAGUUUGUUCAACUUUUAAAUUCCUACAU